Molecule: ribosomal RNA, 565 nt
Filed under: uncultured archaeon
Lineage: Archaea
Description: bacterial SSU rRNA
Rfam family: Archaeal small subunit ribosomal RNA
Source: RNAcentral
GCAUUCGCCCUUCGGGGUGCAGCAGGCGCGAAAACUUUACAAUGCUGGAAACAGCGAUAAGGGGACCUCGAGUGCCAGGUUACAAAUCUGGCUGUCGUGAUGCCUAAAAAGCAUUGCAUAGCAAGGGCCGGGCAAGACCGGUGCCAGCCGCCGCGGUAAUACCGGCGGCUCGAGUGGUAACCGUUAUUAUUGGGUCUAAAGGGUCUGUAGCCGGCCGGAUAAGUCUCUUGGGAAAUCCAGCAGCUCAACUGUUGGGCUUUCAGGAGAUACUGUCUGGCUCGAGGCCGGGAGAGGUGAGAGGUACUUCAGGGGUAGGGGUGAAAUCUUGUAAUCCUUGAAGGACCACCAGUGGCGAAGGCGUCUCACCAGAACGGACCUGACGGCAAGGGACGAAAGCUAGGGGCACGAACCGGAUUAGAUACCCGGGUAGUCCUAGCCGUAAACGAUACUCGCUAGGUGUCGGCCACGGUGCGACCGUUGUCGAUGCCGUAGGGAAGCCGUGAAGCGAGCCACCUGGGAAGUACGGCCGCAAGGCUGAAACUUAAAGGAAUUGGCGGGGGAGCAC